Long non-coding RNA from Gallus gallus (chicken), 2070 nucleotides. RefSeq lists it as uncharacterized. NCBI's taxonomy places the organism in Eukaryota, Metazoa, Chordata, Aves, Galliformes, Phasianidae. The transcript is spliced from 3 exons. The record is from RefSeq and is a predicted model, not a curated record.
UAAUCUGCUAAAAAAAUACUAUAAAAUCAUUUGUUUUGUUUUGGAUUUUUUUUUUUAUUUUUAUUUUUUUAGGUCAUCAAUGAAAUUGGACAAGUGUACUGUUUGUCUAAAAAGAUGAGAAGAAUGCUGAAAACGUUACAUCUGAAAUCUGUGCUGAAUAAAAAUAGUAAUAAUAUACAUAAAAAUGAAUGAAUUCGGCAACAUCAGCAUGACGUUUCCAAAACAAAGUCAGGGACCACACAUUUAUUAAAUAUUUGAAAGUACAGUUGAAAUAAUACUAUAAGACAAUAAUGGUAGUAUUGUGCAUUUGGAUUUCUGAAAAAAGCUUUCAGCAGGAUUGGCCUUCAAGAGGUACUCAAGUAACUAGAGAGAAGAACCUUCAGUAGAUCAGUUGCCUAUAAAAAUGAUUACGUUCCAUAGUAGAAGACAGGUACUGAUAAGGUCCCAAGAAAUCUGUGUUGGCGUUUGUGCUAGUCAGAAAGUCAUUUGAAAAAAUACUGUUUGCUAGUAAGAGAUCUACAUGGGUAUGAGUAAGGAGCUGAGUGAGACCUUACAGGUCUGGAUUAAAAGGAGUAUAGGGAAAGAUGGUAAAAUAUAGGGGGACAAUCACUUUCCUGCUCAUUCUGAGUAUGCUGUUUCUAAUACAAGCCAGGAUGCCAUUGGCUUUCUUGGCUGUCUGGGAACACUGCUAGCUCUUGUUCAGCCAGCUAUCAACUAACCUCUCAAGAUUCUUUUCCUCCAUACAGGUUUUCAGCCAUUCUGCUCCAAGCCUUUAGUGAUGCAUGGGAUUUUUGUAGCCAAAACGCAGGACCUGGCACUUGGUCCUGUUGAAGCUCAUACAGUUAGCCUCAGCCAAGCCAGCCAGCCUAUCCAGAUCCCUCUGAAGGGCCUUCCUACCCCCAGGCAGAUCAACAUUUCCUCCCAACUUGGCAUUAUUGCAAACACUAAAGGUUGCUAAGUGGAUGAUUUUACAGUGAACCUCUUGCUGCUGUUGGAACUGCUGCACAGGAACAGGGACAAUGUGUAACAAAUGAAGCAUUAACAGGACAACUCCUUCUGCCUUAUGUGCUAAGUCUGCUGAGCAUGCACAGAGAACCUGCGGCUUUGUAGAAACAACUGUGUUAACAGCAUAUGUGUGAAACACUUUCCUUGCACAUGGGCAAUAGACUACCUGUUGGAAGCCAAGAGCACAACUGCAAGACAACUGUUCAGUGGAGGAACAUGAAAACUCAUGCAUAGCCUGGAAGCAGAAAAUGCAAUGCACAUGGGCAGAGACAAACUGUUGCACAUGCCCAGGAUGGUUGGCGCUCAGGGCAUAGCAGCUCUACACUUGUCCCUGGGUACCUGAGACUUCUCUGAGAAGGCAGCUCAGUGCUGGCUGCUCUUGCACCUUCUUCCAGGACAGUUCCUGCAAGUGUCCUCAGAUAAAAUGGGACCAGCACCCAAGUAAGCAAUCCUGCCUUAUACAGAAGAGAAUAGAUUACUUUAUUUCUUUUUCCCACUAAUUACUAUAUAAUUGACAUAGGCAGAAAAUAUACAGAAAGUGGAAUGGAAACAAGUUGUAAUUCAUAAGUAAAGUAAACUGUAAGGGAAAUUGUGAUCAAGAACAAAUGUUUGUAACUGCCUUUGCUAGUGUAUAGUAAGAUAUUUGUUCAUAAAUUAGUUCCUGCUAAUGGACAACCAAUUAAUGGACCAAUCUAUAGCUUGUAAAAAUCUCAGCAAUCUAUUCAGCAAUUAACAGAGAUGUAUUGUAUUAAGCUGCUUUGGUUAAGUGGGAUGUCAGCAACAUUUACUCCAAAAUUAUGCAGUACCUGCAUAGAACGUUUCACAUAAUGUUGUGCUAAGAUUGCAUUAAGUCAUUUUAUAUUUUUUUUUCUCUCAUAACUGCAAAUGUAUGUGGUAAAUUAUUUCAAUUCAUUUUUCCCCAUUAACUUUUAUCUUGAGAAAAGUAAAUACAUGAUUGUUUUCUAAUUUUCCAUCCAAAUAAACAAGAGUAGCCAUGAUAUAAAUAACAGGAGCAGUUUAGCAUUUUGGUUAACACUUGGAUCAUUAAAAACGUUUGAAAAGAUA